Molecule: long non-coding RNA, 410 nt
Filed under: Sorghum bicolor (sorghum)
Lineage: Eukaryota; Viridiplantae; Streptophyta; Magnoliopsida; Poales; Poaceae
Description: long non-coding RNA (SBIC_LNC007504)
Source: RNAcentral
AGCCCCCCUCAUCUCAGAAAAAAAAAAAAAAAACGUUACCAAACUCUUCACUCCCCGUCUCCUCCCGAUGCCAGACGCCAGGGGCGACGAGAUGGCGACGGCGCCGACGCCGGCCGCGAGCGGCUCGCCGCGGGCGCCCUCCUCCUCCUCUGCCUCUUCAUCUGCCUCCUCCUCCUCCUCCUCUUUCAGUCCUCCUCCUCCGUCGUUCCUCAUGUGCUCCUGUGCUACAGGAAACCCUAGGUGCUUCUGCUCGAGGACCCCAGCUGCGCGUGCCCUCUUCCUUUGCGCCGGCGGCUCAGCUCCGCAGCUGGAUGUGGCGGUUGCUGGCCCCUCCACCUAGGGUUUUGCAGCGGCGGCGGCGACGCCGAGUCAUCCCCUCCUCGCUUCUCUCUCUGUGCGCACAGGCUCAG